Long non-coding RNA from Papilio xuthus (Asian swallowtail), 1150 nucleotides. RefSeq lists it as uncharacterized. Lineage: Eukaryota; Metazoa; Arthropoda; Insecta; Lepidoptera; Papilionidae. The transcript has 3 exons. The record is from RefSeq and is a predicted model, not a curated record.
UAAAACAAUUUAAAAGGAGCGGUGGCGUUGGCAACUUUGCAUUGGCACCUGGCAACAUUAAAUUCUCUAAACGUCUUUAAAAAUAAAUCGAAUCACACUCGCGCCUUCGAUUUUUAACUUUAUAAUCAAAUAGAAUAAACAAAGUGCUAUAUUUAAUAAUAACAAAUCAACGAAAAUGUUAACUUAAUUAAUCAGGUAUGCAAGCUAUUAUAGUAUCCAUCCACCAUCAUAAUUAAUAAGUUUCCAGAAUGAGUAAUGAUUAUCUUCGGCUGGUCGACUAUGGUGCUUUAUUCACAUUCCUGAUAUUCAUAUCCCUAUCAAUUGGUUGCUGUACAUGGUGUUACUGUAUUAGAGCCCAUGACAAAGCAAUGCAGCAUUAUGUGACAAACUUAGCAAAGCAGAAAGGGCUUCAAGUGGAACCAUACACAAUACAUACCGAGCCUUGUUGCCGAUCACCUCAUGCUAACGAGAACUGCUCGAUUUUUGUGCCAGAUGUAGGUGUUAUACUAUAAUUUCUUUUAUACUAUACCUUUUAUAUAUUACAGUGGAAUUAAUAUCUCGAAUUUUGGGGGAAAUGCAAUUUUUAACUUAUUGAGUCUUUAACUUAAGAUGUUCAAGAUGAAAGUUGUUUGAAGGGGAAUCCAUUGUUAAAUGGCAUUAAAUAGUAACGUCAACUAUUGCCUUAUAAAUACGAUUAAUCAACUCGAGUAGAUUGAAUAAGUACUAAAAUGCCUACACAGCCAAAUGAAAUUUUAUUCAAUUUAUAAAGUCUAAUUAAUUCGAGAUAUUAAGUAAUCGAGGGUUUAGACAAAGGAAAUGGUCUAUUUUUUGGACUUUCUAGGGAUUUAAAUUUAACAUAACUCGAGUAAUAGAGAUUCUACUGUAUAUGUUGAAAUAUUCAGCCAUGACCACAACAACAGCAAUAAAAUUGUGAUUAACUAUACCUUAAACUAAAUGAUAUUUACAGUUUGUCCAUAAAAUUAUGAUCUCAUGUCUACAAUUUUUUUUUGUUUUUCAAUUGUUAAUAUUUGUUUUGCAACAAGCUUUUUGUUUAAGUGAAUUUUGGAUUCAUAAAACAUCCUGUAGUUAAAGCGGUUUGGUAGAUGAACCGAUGUGUAAUUUUCUUUACAAGAUGACCAUCAGUCAAGUU